ACGGGAGGCAGCAGUAGGGAAUAUUGCACAAUGGGGGAAACCCUGAUGCAGCAACGCCACGUGUGGGAAGAAGCAUUUCGGUGUGUAAACCACUGUCGUGAGGGAAUAAAGCUGGAGCUGUCCAGUUGAAUGUACCUCGAAAGGAAGCACCGGCAAACUCCGUGCCAGCAGCCGCGGUAAUACGGAGGAUCCGAGCGUUAUCCGGAUUUAUUGGGUUUAAAGGGUGCGCAGGCGGCUUUUUAAGUCAGUGGUUAAAUCGUGACGCUCAACGUCAUCACGCCAUUGAUACUGGAGAGCUUGAUUGCGGUCGAGGUUUGCGGAAUUCGUCGUGUAGCGGUGAAAUGCAUAGAUAUGACGAAGAACACCGAUUGCGUAGGCAGCAGACCAGGCCGUAAAUGACGCUCAUGCACGAAAGUGCGGGGAUCGAACAGGAUUAGAUACCCUGGUA
This 448-nucleotide ribosomal RNA is filed under the name uncultured Fibrobacter sp. Its description in RNAcentral is "partial 16S ribosomal RNA". It matches the Rfam family "Bacterial small subunit ribosomal RNA", at positions 341 to 792 of the family's 1533-position model. Lineage: Bacteria; Pseudomonadati; Fibrobacterota; Fibrobacteria; Fibrobacterales; Fibrobacteraceae. The record is from RNAcentral.